Non-coding RNA from Triticum aestivum (bread wheat), 198 nucleotides. NCBI's taxonomy places the organism in Eukaryota, Viridiplantae, Streptophyta, Magnoliopsida, Poales, Poaceae. The record is from Rfam.
AUAUCUUUCUCGGCCUUUUCGCUAAGAUCAAGUGUAGUAUCUGUUCUUAUCAGUUUAAUAUUUGAUAUGUGAACUACAUGUCCACAAUGAUAUAUUAAAUUUAUUUUUUAUGAGGGAGGGUCCACCACACUAGCUUGCUAGUGGGGCCCUCAUGUGUCUCCUAGGCGUUGCACUAUUGCCUAGGCUGGCGCACCUCAA